This 258-nucleotide long non-coding RNA is filed under the name Mytilus galloprovincialis (Mediterranean mussel). The record is from RNAcentral. Lineage: Eukaryota; Metazoa; Mollusca; Bivalvia; Mytilida; Mytilidae.
GGUGCCACAUGAAGCUAUGUUAUUUUUAAAUUAAAAAAAUAAUUCCAAAUUAUAAAAUCACAUCUUUGGUAUUUACCAUGUAGAUGUUUUAACGACACGUGCCACACUCUAUUGAUCUUCAUCUGUGUGUGAUUUAACGAAAUUCAUGUUCAUUCAACCAAAACCCGUUAAUUAGGCACGUGUAUACAGAUUAUAAAUGAAUAUAUUAUCUCCUCAUGUUAUCGUGGUAAAAGUCAUAGUGUUUUGUUUUAUGGGAAC